UACAGGGGGUGCAAACGUUGCUCGGAAUCAUUGGGCGUAAAGCGCACGUAGGCGGUCUGUUAUGUCGGAUGUGAAAGCCCUUGGCUCAACUGAGGAAGUGCAUCCGAAACUGGCAGGCUAGAGUACUAAAGAGGAUCGCGGAAUUCCCGGUGUAGUGGUGAAAUGCGUAGAUAUCGGGAGGAACACCAGUGGCGAAGGCGACUUUCUGGCCUGUUCUUGACGCUGAGGCGCGAAAGCUAGGGGAGCAAACGGG
This 253-nucleotide ribosomal RNA is filed under the name uncultured bacterium. Its description in RNAcentral is "partial 16S ribosomal RNA". It matches the Rfam family "Bacterial small subunit ribosomal RNA", at positions 524 to 776 of the family's 1533-position model. The record is from RNAcentral.